This 23-nucleotide microRNA is filed under the name Mus musculus (house mouse). RNAcentral describes it as "mmu-miR-3100-5p". Lineage: Eukaryota; Metazoa; Chordata; Mammalia; Rodentia; Muridae. The record is from miRBase by way of RNAcentral.
UUGGGAACGGGGUGUCUUUGGGA